Molecule: ribosomal RNA, 478 nt
Filed under: uncultured bacterium
Lineage: Bacteria
Description: bacterial SSU rRNA
Rfam family: Bacterial small subunit ribosomal RNA
Source: RNAcentral
UUUCGCAAUGCCCGAAAGGGUGACGAAACGACGCCGCGUGAGCGAAGAAGGCCCUAGGGUUGUAAAGCUCUGUCAGGGGUUAUGAAAUGUAGAUGAGAUAAUACCUCAUUUAUUUGACAAAGGCCCCAAAGGAAGCCACGGCUAACUCUGUGCCAGCAGCCGCGGUAAUACAGAGGUGGCGAGCGUUGUUCGGUAUUAUUGGGCGUAAAGAGCACGUAGGUGGUUUUGUAAGCCAGGUGUGAAAGCCUUCUAUUCAAAGGAAGAACGGCAUCUGAAACUGCAGAUCUUGAGUGUAGGAGGGGAGAGUGGAACUUCUGGUGGAGCGGUGAAAUGCGUAGAUAUCAGAAGGAACGUCGGCGGCGAAAGCGACUCUCUGGCCUAUUACUGACACUGAGUGUGCGAAAGUUAGGGGAGCAAACGGGAUUAGAUACCCCGGUAGUCCUAACCGUAAACGAUGGGCACUAAGUAGAGGGGUUUU